GAUGAACGCUAGCGGCAGGCUUAACACAUGCAAGUCGAGGGGCAGCGCGGGAUAGCAAUAUCCUGGCGGCGACCGGCGGAAGGGUGCGUAACGCGUGAGCGACAUGCCCGGUGCCCGGGGACAACCGGUGGAAACGCCGACGAAUCCCCGAUGGGAUACGAUGCUUCAUGGCAUUGUAUUGAAAGUUACGGCGGCGACGGAUUGGCUCGCGUCCGAGUAGCGGGUUGGCGGGGUAACGGCCCACCAAGGCUGCGAUCGGUAGGGGUUCUGAGAGGCAGGCCCCCCACAAUGGGACUGAGACACGGCCCCUCCUCCGACGGGAGGCUGCAGUGAGGAAUGUUGGUCAAGGGACGGAAGCCUGACCCCGCCGUGCCGCGUGCGGGAAGGAGGCCCUAUGUGCUGUGAACCGCUUUUGCCUGGGGGCAAUAAGGGCGUCGCGCACGUCCGAUGAGAGUACCAGGCGAAUAAGCAUCGGCUAACUCCGUG
Molecule: ribosomal RNA, 486 nt
Filed under: uncultured bacterium
Lineage: Bacteria
Description: partial 16S ribosomal RNA
Rfam family: Bacterial small subunit ribosomal RNA
Source: RNAcentral